This 497-nucleotide ribosomal RNA is filed under the name uncultured bacterium. RNAcentral describes it as "partial 16S ribosomal RNA". It matches the Rfam family "Bacterial small subunit ribosomal RNA", at positions 28 to 507 of the family's 1533-position model. The record is from RNAcentral.
GACGAACGCUGGCGGCGUGCCUAAUACAUGCAAGUAGAACGCUGAAGAGAGGAGCUUGCUCUUCUUGGAUGAGUUGCGAACGGGUGAGUAACGCGUAGGUAACCUGCCUUGUAGCGGGGGAUAACUAUUGGAAACGAUAGCUAAUACCGCAUAACAAUGGAUGACCCAUGUCAUUUAUUUGAAAGGGGCAAAUGCUCCACUACAAGAUGGACCUGCGUUGUAUUAGCUAGUAGGUGAGGUAACGGCUCACCUAGGCGACGAUACAUAGCCGACCUGAGAGGGUGAUCGGCCACACUGGGACUGAGACACGGCCCAGACUCCUACGGGAGGCAGCAGUAGGGAAUCUUCGGCAAUGGGGGCAACCCUGACCGAGCAACGCCGCGUGAGUGAAGAAGGUUGUCGGAUCGUAAAGCUCUGUUGUAAGUCAAGAACGAGUGUGAGAGUGGAAAGUUCACACUGUGACGGUAGCUUACCAGAAAGGGACGGCUAACUACGUG